AGGACGAACGCUGGCGGCGUGCUUAACACAUGCAAGUCGAGCGAGGCCCUUCCUUCGGGAAGGAGCCCUAGCGGCGAACGGGUGAGUAACACGUGGGCAACCUGCCCCUAGCACUGGGAUAACUCCGGGAAACCGGGGCUAAUACCAGAUAUGACCUUCUUGGGCAUCCUCGAAGGUGUAAAGGAUUCUGGCUAGGGAUGGGCCCGCGGCCUAUCAGCUUGUUGGUGGGGUAAUGGCCUACCAAGGCGACGACGGGUAGCCGGCCUGAGAGGGUGACCGGCCACACUGGGACUGAGACACGGCCCAGACUCCUACGGGAGGCAGCAGUGGGGAAUCUUGCACAAUGGGCGAAAGCCUGAUGCAGCGACGCCGCGUGAGGGAUGAAUGCCUUCGGGUUGUAAACCUCUUUCAGCAGGGACGAAGCGAAAGUGACGGUACUGCAGAGAAGCACUGGCCAACUACGCGACCAGCACGCCGAC
Molecule: ribosomal RNA, 479 nt
Filed under: uncultured bacterium
Lineage: Bacteria
Description: SSU rRNA
Rfam family: Bacterial small subunit ribosomal RNA
Source: RNAcentral